GUCGAGCGAAGAGAUGGGAGCUUGCUCCCUGAUCUUAGCGGCGGACGGGUGAGUAACACGUGGGCAACCUGCCCUGCAGACUGGGAUAACUCCGGGAAACCGGAGCUAAUACCGGGUAAUACAUCGCACCGCAUGGUGCAAUGUUGAAAGUUGGCUUUCUGAGCUAACACUGCAGGAUGGGCCCGCGGCGCAUUAGCUAGUUGGUAAGGUAAUGGCUUACCAAGGCAACAAUGCGUACCCAACCUGAAAGGGUGAUCGGCCACCCUGGGACUGAAACACGGCCCAAACUCCUACGGGAGGCAGCAGUAGGGAAUCUUCCGCAAUGGACAAAAGUCUGACGGACCACCGCCCCGUGAGUGACAAAGGCCUUCGGGUCGUAAAGCUCUGUUGUUAGGGAAGAACAAGUACCGUUCGAAUAGGGCGGUACCUUGACGGUACCUAACCAAAAAGCCACGGUUAACUACUUGCCAGCAGCCGCGGUAAUACUUAGGUGGCAAGCGUUGUCCGGAAUUAUUGGGCGUAAAGCGCGCGCAGGCGGUCUUUUAAGUCUGAUGUGAAAGCCCACGGUUCACCCGUGAAGGGUCAUUGGAAACUGGAGGACUUGAGUGCAAAAAAGGAGAGUGGAAUUCCACGUGUAGCGGUGAAAUGCGUAAAUAUGUGGAGGAACACCAGUGGCGA
This 678-nucleotide ribosomal RNA is filed under the name Guptibacillus hwajinpoensis. Its description in RNAcentral is "bacterial SSU rRNA". It matches the Rfam family "Bacterial small subunit ribosomal RNA", at positions 61 to 718 of the family's 1533-position model. Lineage: Bacteria; Bacillati; Bacillota; Bacilli; Caryophanales; Guptibacillaceae. The record is from RNAcentral.